CAACCCUCAAGCGCUGUUUCGCUUGGAGUUGGGGCUCUUGCAGCUGGGCACUUUUAGUGCUUUGCAAGCCCUGAAAUCUAGCGGCGGGCUCGCCGGCACACCGAGCGCAGUAAUUUUACUUCUCGCUUAGGGCGUUGCGGCGCGGCACAGCCGACUUUUUGAAAACUUUCCAA
This 173-nucleotide unclassified non-coding RNA is filed under the name uncultured Sordariomycetes. RNAcentral's name for it is "sequence contains ITS2". The record is from RNAcentral. Lineage: Eukaryota; Fungi; Ascomycota; Sordariomycetes.